CUGCACACUGGGACAAGCUGGGAAUGGGUUGCCUCCUUUCGAGUUAUUGAUAGCUUUAGUUUUUCCCCCAGUAAAUAUUUUGGAGUGAAAACUCAGGACACAACAGGAGUGACAAACAUGAACUGCUGGAUACGCAGAGAGCACAGGAAUCAUCUUUGUCUGUUUCUUCCUCGUUGUACAGUUUCAGAGGUUGACUCCAGCGGGACGCAUGGCAGCUUGCAGGAUACAUCUGUGGCCUGUGCCAGGGGGGAGAGCUGUCCCUAAGGAGUCCAGAACAGCGAGUGAAUGUCAAGUGUAGACUCGAGAGAAGAGUUUUGCUUCAGGUGGCAGGAAACCCAUGCGCCCAUGAGAGAUGAAUACGGGGAUCUCGAGAGGCUGCAAACCAGGGGCAAAGGUCAACUGCGUUCCCCACAAAGGAAAAUCACAUCUGUGCUCUCUUAACUGAAAGCUGAAAAUAAAAAGCUGGUUUUGCUAUGAUUUGCCUUUCCCUGCUUUAAACGCAAUCUUUUCUUCUUCACCUAAUAGAGUUGGUAGAUGAAUUAUCUUAUCAUUUUCUAUGGAAAUUUUUAUAAAGUUAUAAUAAAAUGUGCAUGGCAAAACAUUUUCUGAGGCUUUCCAAACUUUCUCUGAAAUCUUAAGUUACUUUAAGCAAACAAAUAAUUUUCCCUAAGUCCUACCCAAUAAAAUUAAUUUAUGAGUUCAA
Molecule: long non-coding RNA, 703 nt
Organism: Mesocricetus auratus (golden hamster)
Lineage: Eukaryota; Metazoa; Chordata; Mammalia; Rodentia; Cricetidae
Exons: 3
Source: RefSeq, a predicted model, not a curated record